UUCUCCAUUUGAAACUAAAACCUUUCAUUAAAUCAUUGUUAUUCUCAUUUCUUCUGCUGUUUAACGUGUUUUGAUCCUUUCUGUCAUUGAAAGGUAAGGUUUUUUGAUAAAUUAGUUUCUUUUGUGCAGAUUAUGCUUAAAAAAAACUGUUUAGUUAAAAAAAAUAAAGAAUAGUCUGGGAUAUAAUCUGAAAACCCAUCUUCAAUUCAGUUGCAUCAGUUGCAUGUCCAGAAACCUUCUUUCUGGACAUGUUUGUUGAAGCGGCAUCACAAGAGGAGCGAAACGCCGUUCACUUCCUGUCUUGGGGGUUUCAGGUGAGGUUUCUUCAGCAGAUGACGAGCUGUGUGUCUACAGUUCACGUCUGCUCUCAUGCAGAGAAGCUUCUGCUGGGAUGGGAACCAGCAAACUUUGCUUUCUGCAGCUGCUGCUGCUGCUUCUCAGCGCCGCUGAAGGUUUGUUCCAGUUUUGAGCUUCUGAGACUAACGUUGGUUUGGCAUCUGAAACUGUUCUUCCUCUGCAGAAUCUCGAAAAUGGAUUCAUAAGGUCGUUCGUCAUCAGCCUGAUGUGAUUCCAGUUUGCAGAAACGAUUCCAGUAACGUCAUCAUGCUGACAGUCUGCAGGAUCCAGACCCAGGGGGGGUCCUGCCGCCUGACCUUCAGGCCUGGACGCAGCUCUGAUCCAGAAUGUGGCUCCAAGUUCAGGAUGACGGUGGAGAACCAGACGGUGUUCCUGCAGCUGAGCUCUCUGGGAGCAGAGGACAGCGAGAACAGCAGCUGUGAGUGUGUUCAUGCUGUAGGGACCUUCACCGUGGAGCUGAACAUCACCGUGGUAACCACAGGGAAUCGGACCAUCGACUCAUUUCUAAAACCAACCGACAAAGAAAACCUUUAUGGAUGGAUGUGGGUUCUGGUUCUGGUGUUGGUCUCUGGAAUCCUGCUGGGAGUUUUCUGCCGAUGCUUGUCACUCAGGUGAGACAGAAGUCCCUCCCCUGAGCUCCUCAGGAGCGAUGCUGUCCGCUUCACCUGCGUCUCUCCUCUGAAGGAGGGAGAACAUCUGCCCCGAGCUGCAUUUGCAUCGUUUACCCAGCAGGAGGCGACAGAGACCCGCCAGCAGCCCUCCACAGACGCUGGUGGAGGACGUUGAGGCGUACGACGUGUUCCUGCAGACGGAGAACGUUCUGUAUGAACCUUGCAGAGCCCACAGCUGCAGCACCAUCAGCAGUGUCCUCACGUGACGGCUGUACCCCAGAGGACCGCCUCUGAAGGAGUUCUAGUGUGUUUGAACCUGAGCAGUGGAAAAGUCCACUCUGCUUCUGCUGAAGUUGCAGCUUCACACAGGAAGUCAGCCGGACCUGCAGCUCCAUCUGACUUCCUGUCUGAACUUUCUGAUCACUUUCACUCCUUGAAGCUCGUUUUAGAA
Molecule: non-coding RNA, 1419 nt
Organism: Oryzias latipes (Japanese medaka)
Lineage: Eukaryota; Metazoa; Chordata; Actinopteri; Beloniformes; Adrianichthyidae
Source: RefSeq, a predicted model, not a curated record